GAGGGAUUGGACCCAGGUCUCUUACAUUGCAGACAGAUUAUUUAUUUUUUUUUUUAACCAUCUGAGCCUCCAGGGAAUCCCCUUCAGCUGCAAGAAUUUCCCCCCACCCCUUCCUCCUCUCCACCUUCUUCAUGGCACCAGUUUCCACACACUUCAAAGCAUGAAGUCAGGAAACCAUGGAAAAUCACAGGAGACCAGGACUAGAGCUGCGAGGACUUCGUAUUUCCCCAACCGGAUGACUUCUUCCCAGUCACAUCAGCAGCUAAAUUUACCGAGUAAGUGAAGAAUUAAAAGAGCCAAGAAGAAAGCCUGACUCUGGAAACUGAAUAUCCUUACCUGGGAGAGUUGUAAAGAAAAGUGAAAGUCACUCCUACUCUUUGUGACCCAUGGGCUGUAGCCCACCAGGCUACUCUGUCCACGGAAUUCUCCAGGUAUGAGUACUGAAGUGGGUAGCCAUUCCCUUCUCCAAGGGAUCUUCCUGACCAAGAGUCAAACCUGGGUCUCCCACAUUGCAGGCAGAUUCUUUACUGUCUGAGCCACCAGGGAGAGUCUUAAACAAAAAAUUAAAAGCUGAAGUCUUCAUUUGGAGGGAUUUCACCACAAUCAGGAUUCAGAUUCAUAUUGUUAUACUUCUAUUAAACAUCAGCCUGUCUAGAAACUCCUAACCCAAAGUGAAAGUGAAAGUCACUCAGUCGUGUCCAACUCUUUGCGACCCCAUGGACUAUACAGUCCAUGGAAUUCUCCAGGCCAGAAUACUGGAGUGGGUAGCUAUUCCCUUCUCCAGGGGAUCUUCCCAAGCCUAGGACUGAACCCAGAUCAGUCCUAGGGGAUCGAACCCGGGUCUCCUGUGUUGCAGGUAGAUUCUUUACCAGCUGAGCCACAGGGAAGACAACUCAGUGAAAUAAACCAGGUGGUGAUGACUUCA
RNAcentral lists this long non-coding RNA (925 nucleotides) under Bos indicus x Bos taurus (hybrid cattle). Its description in RNAcentral is "lncRNA (ENSBIXG00000006788.1)". Lineage: Eukaryota; Metazoa; Chordata; Mammalia; Artiodactyla; Bovidae. The record is from RNAcentral.